This is a long non-coding RNA of Drosophila mauritiana, 415 nucleotides long. RefSeq lists it as uncharacterized. The record is from RefSeq and is a predicted model, not a curated record. Lineage: Eukaryota; Metazoa; Arthropoda; Insecta; Diptera; Drosophilidae. The transcript has 3 exons.
CUAACAUUGUGUAAUUUAGUUCUUUUCAGGUACCCCCGCCAGAAGGACGGAAGCAUGGAGACGCUGAGGAGCCUAAGGAGUCAUCACAGAUGCAAAUUGCCGGUCGUCAGGAAGAGGAGUUGCGAAGAGUAAUCCCACGCAGCUGUCAUUGCAUUUUAUUGAGCUGCUGGCAUUAUGGUGGUGGCGUUCGUCUCGUGGCAGAGAAGUCGUCAGUGAGGAUUGUAGCUCGGUCUAUCACCGAGGAAAGCCAGGUGCGCCGCGUCUUGUGGCCAUAGCGUCAGGAUUGGCAGCUUGGGGCCGCCGGUUCGAGAUUUGUUGCAGAGGGCCGCCGCAACGUGAUAGGCAUGGAAAUGAAUGUAAGAAUAGUAUUUGAGUUUACAAUCUUGGAAAAAACAGUUGCAUGCUUAUCUUCAGC